UCAUUUUCUCUUGCCGCCACCGUGUAAGAGUGCCUUUUGUCUCCCUCCGUGAUUCUGAGGCCUCCCCAGCCAUGUGGAACUCCUCUUCUGCCCUGCCCGGCCACUCCUUUGAGUGACGGGGGUAAUUGAGAAGCUGCUCCUCCCUCCAGGAAGGAAGACCCGGAGCUCUGGCUUCCCUCGGCAAAGCACAUAUAAACCCACAGUCACUGUGGGUGGAAGGAGAAGGGCAGGGUGGAAAAAGUUUGAGAGAAGGAGGGAGGAAAAGGUGUCCUGACUAGCACCGUGUGGAUUCUCUUGAGAUGAGAAGAAAAUGCCUGGCUACGUCCCCCUUCUGCUGCUCCUGCUUCUCCUGAGGUGUUCAGAAUGGGGUGGGGGAGUUAAUUUUGGUGAGAAGGAUGCAAAAGUCCCCAGGACCUGGAGAGAUGGAGUCAGGGUCCCUGGAGAAGGAACCUCUUGGGACUCAGACAGGGCCAGUCCUGAGCGAAGGUACGGAAUAGUAGGACUAAGCCAAAGCAUUUCCACUAAGCACCCAGAGACCAGCCCUAAAGACUCAAGAAUAAGAGAAAAUGAUGUAACUGCAGGUGGAAGGACCACUGAGGAUCACAUCACAGGAGACCCAGGGACCACCGAGGACUCUGUCACUGCAGACCCAGGGACCACUGAGGACAACGUGACUGCGGACCCAGGGACCACCGAGGGCUCUGUCACUGCAGACCCAGGGACCACCAAGGACUAUGUGACUGCACACCCAGGGACCACCAAGGAUUCCGUCACUGCAGACCCAGGGACCACCAAGGACUUCAUCACUGCAGACCCAGGGACCACCAAACACUCCAUCACUGCAGACACAGGGACCACUGAGAACUUUGUCACUGCAGACCCAGGGACCACCAAGGACUAUGUCACUGUAGACCCAGGGAUCACUGAGGACUCCAUCACUGCAGACCCAGGGACCACCUAGGACUCUGUCACUGCAGACCCAAGGACCACUGAGGACUCCAUCACUGCAGACCCAGGGACCACCUAGGACUCCGUCACUGCAGACCCAAGGACCACUGAGGACUCCAUCACUGCAGACCCAGGGACCACCAAACACUCCAUCACUGCAGACCUGGGGACCACCGAGGACUCUGUCACUGCAGACCCAGGGACCACAGAAGAUGAAACCACUAAACAUGGUGACACUCACCUUCUGUGAACUACUUCAGUCACAGCAGUGAAACCCACGAGGCUCCUGACACCAUGAGAAUUAUCCUCAUAUCCCUGGCUGCAACCAUAGUCACUGUUGUGCUCUUUGUUGGAUUGGGCUUCAUUGUGAAAGAGUGUUUCCUGCCUCCAUUAAAUCCAUCCACCAGGGUUAUUUAUCAUCACCAUGUCAUGGACUAGAGUACACCAUAAAGAGGACCCCAGCAGUGACUACAGUUGGUUCUAGAAAAAGCAGACCCCUCGUCCGCCUCUGCAGGACUAUGCAGCUUGAUGUGUAUCCUCAGGCCUCCACUCCUCUGCCCCAGUCUGGAGCCCUGGGACCACCACAUGAGGAAGGCAGCUGGCCCCUGGAAUAAGCAUUUGGAGGACACUCAGAAGGAUGCCCAUCUGCUCUUAGUGUCUCCUAAUUCUGCCUGGCCUUGGUUACUUCCUCUGGACAAUCGCCUUUACCUAUCUACUAGGUUUUGAGGAAUUACACACAGCUCAGGUAUAAGAGAUAUUCAGUAAGUCUGAUCAAAUCAAUAAAGCAAAUUUCAUCUGUUUUUGUCUGGGACAUAUCUCUACAUUCAUUCAUUUAACAAAAAAAAAAA
This 1796-nucleotide long non-coding RNA is filed under the name Pongo abelii (Sumatran orangutan). RNAcentral's name for it is "lincRNA". Lineage: Eukaryota; Metazoa; Chordata; Mammalia; Primates; Hominidae. The record is from RNAcentral.